AACGCGCUGAGUAAUACAUCGUGAACGUACCUUAUCGUGGGGGAUAACGCAGCGAAAGUUGCGCUAACUACCGCAUACGCCCUGAGGGGGAAAGCGGGGGACCGUAAGGCCUCGCGCGAUUAGAGCGGCCGAUGUCUGAUUAGCUUGUUGGUGAGGUAAAAGCUCACCAAGGCGAUGAUCAGUAGCUGGUCUGAGAGGACGAUCAUCCACACUGGGACUGAGACACGGCCCAGACUCCUACGGGAGGCAGCAGUGGGGAAUUUUGGACAAUGGGGGCAACCCUGAUCCAGCAAUGCCU
This 298-nucleotide ribosomal RNA is filed under the name uncultured beta proteobacterium. RNAcentral's name for it is "partial 16S ribosomal RNA". It matches the Rfam family "Bacterial small subunit ribosomal RNA", at positions 100 to 398 of the family's 1533-position model. Lineage: Bacteria; Pseudomonadati; Pseudomonadota; Betaproteobacteria. The record is from RNAcentral.